UGUGUAACAAUAAUAUCAUACAUUCUGAUAUUUUGUGAUGUCAUCCAUCACUACUUCAUAUGUCAGAAUUUUUAUGGUGCCAUUGCUAUAGCAUAUUGAUGUCUCAUGCAUUCAUUAUUAUGUCAUGAUGAUGUCAUGUUUGUGAAAUCAUACAUCAUUCUACUUCAUACUUUGCAUCAUCAACAAUGGUUAGAACAACAGCCUGAAGGAUUUAAACACGAAUUUUAAAUUAUGAUCCCAAAAUGCUCUAUCCCUAUGGCAAUUUUGAUCCAGGAUGGAGCAAUGUUACCUACAGGAAGUGACUUUGCAAAAUUUGGUGCCAAUAGAUCAAAUAGUGUGGGAUCUUAAGUCGAGCAAGCAGAUAGAAAAACAUGACCAAAUGUGCCCUUCUAUUUGAGGUAAAUUUGAUUUUUAUGCUCUUUAUUGCCUGCAGGAUCAUAAGAAGUCAUUCUGCAAAGUUUGGUCUUGAUAAGUCAAAUGAUGUGGGACCUAUGCAGAAUAGACAGAUAUAAAGCACAAGCAAAUGAGCCCCAUCCCCUUGGGCUAUUUCAGUUUUAUCCUAUGUUACCUACAGGAUCAUGGGAAGUUGCCCAACAAAGUUUGGUCAUGAUAGGUCAAACAGUGUGGGAGCUUAUGUGGGACAGAAAGAAAAAAAUAUAUAUAAAGACAUUGCAUUUUAUAUAUAUAUAUUAGCCAAUGAAUAGGAAGUGGUAUUAAAAAAUAAUUGCUUUUUUCUUUUAGAAAUUUGGACAUAUGAAUAUAAUGUAUAUAUUUCACUUUUGUUUUAUCUAAUAUUUUUGCUUACAUAAAAUGUUAGCAGGC
RNAcentral lists this long non-coding RNA (822 nucleotides) under Androctonus crassicauda. Lineage: Eukaryota; Metazoa; Arthropoda; Arachnida; Scorpiones; Buthidae. The record is from RNAcentral.